AUGCAUACGCUAAUCAGGCAUACAGCAGAACGACUGGCUUUGAAAAUGACCAGCAGUUGGGAAUUGAAAAUAGUCAGCCCAUUUAUGAACGAAUAGGUAAAGGCAUCUAAAGUCAACAAUGGCUGUCAUGAAUUUGGAAUAGGACGUAUCCAUGAAUGCUCCGAGGACACGUCAAAUGAUGUUGUACGGUUGAAACGAAAAACAUAGACAUAUCUUUAUUUAUACAUAUCAACUAACUUACUCGUUUUAUUUUAUAUGUUUAUAAAG
This is a long non-coding RNA of Dreissena polymorpha, 267 nucleotides long. RefSeq lists it as uncharacterized. The transcript is spliced from 3 exons. The record is from RefSeq and is a predicted model, not a curated record. Lineage: Eukaryota; Metazoa; Mollusca; Bivalvia; Myida; Dreissenidae.